GAUAAGGUUACCAGCUCUGGCCUUUGACAGUGACAAUGGGAGGUAACAGAGAAGUGGACAACUAGUAAAGGAUCUAAACAGGAGAAAAGAUUUGAGUGCAGGAUUUGGAGACUGAACCGUCAAUACAUAUCCUUCUUCGUCUGGCAUAAAGUGAUUGGCAGAAAUCAAAAUGAACAGAGGAGGGCUGAUGAAUGAAAGACAACUCCUCUGCCAGUGAAGCUUUGCUGCAGUGGAAGGGGAAGGAAACUCCAUGAAGCUGAUGGCCCGUUAGCUGACAGCUGUGGUACCAGGCCCCUCGCUAAUGCUCUUGCUGGCCCAUUGCAGCAGCCCCUGACUUCCUCAUUGGUGGCUGGGACCAGAUUUCCUCUUGCCUGCACUGCAACCACAAGGCAACAGUGAUAUUGACAGUUCUAACUAGUGCUGUUCCAAAAAUUCCUCCCCUACACACACACACAAACAAACUGAUUUUUAUUUUUAUACCAUUCACUCACAGUUAAUGAGAAAAUAAAUUAUGUUUGGGAAGAAAGGAAGUGAAAUUCUUAUUGUUAAAGUGCAUAUUUUUGUUGCUUUCAGGUUGCCAGAGCAUGUUGGUGAGUGUUCUGCAUGCAAUCUCACCAACAGUCUGUAUUCUACACCUGCCCUCAGUGUCCACAUUUCCCCCAAAUCCCAUGCCAUCCUCCACCGGACUUCCUUGGAAGCAGGGGAAAAUGGAGAGGCUACUUUCUGUGUUCCCAGCCACUGUUAGUCCUUCUUUUGAAAAACAUGAAGUCUUUUUACUUUUAAAGAAACCAAUAUGGAUUUUUUUAAAAAAGGUAAAUGGGAUGUACUGAUCUCGGAUGCUUGGUAACCAACCUCCUAUGCUUCAGUCUGAGUUCCAGGGAAGACACUAUGUGGUUAACAUCUCUUAUGGGGCUUUUCAAAUUAGGAAGUUCAGACAGCCAGGAAGUCUUCUGAAUAGGGAUGGGAGAGAAAUGCAAUUUUUGCACGUUAAUGAGAAAAUACCAAAUUCGCACUCCUCAAAUGAAUAUUUGAACUAAGUCGGG
Podarcis raffonei (Aeolian wall lizard) is the source of this 1043-nucleotide long non-coding RNA. RefSeq lists it as uncharacterized. NCBI's taxonomy places the organism in Eukaryota, Metazoa, Chordata, Lepidosauria, Squamata, Lacertidae. The record is from RefSeq and is a predicted model, not a curated record. The transcript is spliced from 3 exons.